AGCAGCCGCGGUAAUUCCAGCUCCAAUAGCGUAUAUUAAAGUUGUUGCAGUUAAAAAGCUCGUAGUUGAAUUUCGGGGUCAGUAGGUCGGUCGUGCCACUGGUAUGAACUGGUUUUACUGAUUCCUCCUUCUUGAAGAACUGUAAUGCCAUUAAUUUGGUGUUGCAGGGAAUCAGGACUGUUACUUUGAAAAAAUUAGAGUGUUUAAAGCAGGCUUUAGCUUGAAUACAUUAGCAUGGAAUAAUGAAAUAGGACGUUUGAUCCUAUUUUGUUGGUUUCUAGGAUUGACGUAAUGAUUAAUAGGGAUAGUUGGGGGCAUUAGUAUUCAAUUGUCAGAGGUGAAAUUCUUGGAUUUAUUGAAGACUAACUACUGCGAAAGCAUUUGCCAAGGAUGUUUUCAUUAAUCAAGAACGAAAGUUAGGGGAUCGAAGACGAUCAGAUACCGUCGUAGUCUUAACCAUAAACUAUGCCGACUAGGGAUCGGAUGAUGUUAAUUUUUAAUGACUCAUUCGGCGCCUUAC
This 520-nucleotide ribosomal RNA is filed under the name uncultured Glomus. Its description in RNAcentral is "SSU rRNA". It matches the Rfam family "Eukaryotic small subunit ribosomal RNA", at positions 569 to 1091 of the family's 1831-position model. The record is from RNAcentral. Lineage: Eukaryota; Fungi; Glomeromycota; Glomeromycetes; Glomerales; Glomeraceae.